GUAGAAAUACAGCUAUUUGACAAGUAUUACUGUCUAUCUACAUCCUUCAGUAGAACUCCUGAGAGCAGUGCUGUCAGUUUUUUCUCACCUUGGAGAAGCUUCUUAGUUAUGUGUGGUUUGAACUGAAAAUAUGCCAAAUGAUAAAUAUAUAAACAUCCGGACCACAUGGCCAUAUCUGAUUAAGACCAGAACAGGAGGCUUCAUGGUGUUCACCUGUCAGUGUGCUGAGACGAAGCCACUAUACAAAGAGUGUAAGGAUCCUGUUCAAGGUCACACACAUGGUAUGUGGCUGAGCUCUGAGUCAGGCCAGGCAGACUGGUUCCUGAGCCUGUUCUGACCCCUGAAGUUCACAUGGACAAGUUUAGUGUCCUCCCUAAAGCUUUCCUCCUUGAAAUCUUGGAUGAGAUGGGACACUGAGAUUUCCUUAUGUGUCAGAGAAGAUAAACCUUCAUCAGAGGGUGAGUUGGUCCAUGUUGACCUGCAUCCCAGCUCUGGGGUACAGGGUUCUGCCUGAACACAGCCUGCAAGCCCUGGGUUAACCUCUCCUUCCAGCCC
Bos taurus (domestic cattle) is the source of this 555-nucleotide long non-coding RNA. Lineage: Eukaryota; Metazoa; Chordata; Mammalia; Artiodactyla; Bovidae. The record is from Ensembl.